RNAcentral lists this ribosomal RNA (433 nucleotides) under uncultured bacterium. RNAcentral describes it as "partial 16S ribosomal RNA". It matches the Rfam family "Bacterial small subunit ribosomal RNA", at positions 29 to 507 of the family's 1533-position model. The record is from RNAcentral.
AACGAACGCUGGCGGCAUGCCUAACACAUGCAAGUCGAACGAGACCUUCGGGUCUAGUGGCGCACGGGUGCGUAACGCGUGGGAACCUGCACUUAGGUUCGGCAUACCUCCCCGAAAGGGGUGCUAAUACCGGAUAAUGUCUUCGGCCCAAAGAUUUAUCGCCUUUGGAUGGGCCCGCGUUGGAUUAGCUAGUUGGUAGGGUAAAAGCCUACCAAGGCGACGAUCCAUAGCUGGUCUGAGAGGAUGAUCAGCCACACUGGGACUGAGACACGGCCCAGACUCCUACGGGAGGCAGCAGUGGGGAAUAUUGGACAAUGGGCGAAAGCCUGAUCCAGCAAUGCCGCGUGAGUGAUGAAGGCCUUAGGGUUGUAAAGCUCUUUUAACCGGGAUGAUAAUGACAGUACCGGGAGAAUAAGCUCCGGCUAACUCCGUG